UGGGGGAUAUUGCACAAUGGGCGAAAGCCUGAUGCAGCGACGCCGCGUGGGGGAUGAAGGCCUUCGGGUUGUAAACUUCUUUUGCUCUGAACAAGGCAUGCUAAUGGGUGUGUUGAGUGUAGGGGUUGAUUAGCGCCGGCUAACUACGUGCCAGCAGCCGCGGUAAUACGUAGGGCGCGAGCGUUGUCCGGAAUUAUUGGGCGUAUAGGGCUUGUAGGUGGCUGGUUGCGUCUGUCGUGAAAGCUCAUGGCUUUAUUGUGGGUUUGCGGUGGGUACGGGCUGGCUUGGGUGCAGUAGGGGAGGCUGGAAUUCCUGGUGUAGCGGUGGAAUGCGCAGAUAUCAGGAGGAAUACCGGUGGCGAAGGCGGGUCUCUGGGCUGUUACUGACACUGAGGAGCGAAAGCAUGGGGAGCGAACAGG
Molecule: ribosomal RNA, 419 nt
Filed under: bacterium
Lineage: Bacteria
Description: partial 16S ribosomal RNA
Rfam family: Bacterial small subunit ribosomal RNA
Source: RNAcentral